Molecule: ribosomal RNA, 1050 nt
Filed under: Klebsiella pneumoniae
Lineage: Bacteria; Pseudomonadati; Pseudomonadota; Gammaproteobacteria; Enterobacterales; Enterobacteriaceae
Description: bacterial SSU rRNA
Rfam family: Bacterial small subunit ribosomal RNA
Source: RNAcentral
UGAACGCUGGCGGCAGGCCUAACACAUGCAAGUCGAGCGGUAGCACAGAGAGCUUGCUCUCGGGUGACGAGCGGCGGACGGGUGAGUAAUGUCUGGGAAACUGCCUGAUGGAGGGGGAUAACUACUGGAAACGGUAGCUAAUACCGCAUAACGUCGCAAGACCAAAGUGGGGGACCUUCGGGCCUCAUGCCAUCAGAUGUGCCCAGAUGGGAUUAGCUAGUAGGUGGGGUAACGGCUCACCUAGGCGACGAUCCCUAGCUGGUCUGAGAGGAUGACCAGCCACACUGGAACUGAGACACGGUCCAGACUCCUACGGGAGGCAGCAGUGGGGAAUAUUGCACAAUGGGCGCAAGCCUGAUGCAGCCAUGCCGCGUGUGUGAAGAAGGCCUUCGGGUUGUAAAGCACUUUCAGCGGGGAGGAAGGCGAUAAGGUUAAUAACCUUGUCGAUUGACGUUACCCGCAGAAGAAGCACCGGCUAACUCCGUGCCAGCAGCCGCGGUAAUACGGAGGGUGCAAGCGUUAAUCGGAAUUACUGGGCGUAAAGCGCACGCAGGCGGUCUGUCAAGUCGGAUGUGAAAUCCCCGGGCUCAACCUGGGAACUGCAUUCGAAACUGGCAGGCUAGAGUCUUGUAGAGGGGGGUAGAAUUCCAGGUGUAGCGGUGAAAUGCGUAGAGAUCUGGAGGAAUACCGGUGGCGAAGGCGGCCCCCUGGACAAAGACUGACGCUCAGGUGCGAAAGCGUGGGGAGCAAACAGGAUUAGAUACCCUGGUAGUCCACGCCGUAAACGAUGUCGAUUUGGAGGUUGUGCCCUUGAGGCGUGGCUUCCGGAGCUAACGCGUUAAAUCGACCGCCUGGGGAGUACGGCCGCAAGGUUAAAACUCAAAUGAAUUGACGGGGGCCCGCACAAGCGGUGGAGCAUGUGGUUUAAUUCGAUGCAACGCGAAGAACCUUACCUGGUCUUGACAUCCACAGAACUUAGCAGAGAUGCUUUGGUGCCUUCGGGAACUGUGAGACAGGUGCUGCAUGGCUGUCGUCAGCUCGUGUUGUGAA